Molecule: ribosomal RNA, 253 nt
Filed under: uncultured bacterium
Lineage: Bacteria
Description: partial 16S ribosomal RNA
Rfam family: Bacterial small subunit ribosomal RNA
Source: RNAcentral
AACGUAGGACGCAAGCGUUAUCCGGAGUUACUGGGCGUAAAGGGCGUGUAGGCGGUGGGACAAGUCACCCGUGAAAGACUUCGGCUCAACCGGGGGAGGUCGGGUGAUACUGUUCGACUAGAGGAUGUCAGAGGGACACGGAAUUCCGGGUGUAGUGGUGAAAUGCGUAGAGAUCCGGAGGAACACCAGUGGCGCAGGCGGUGUCCUGGGGCGUACCUGACGCUGAGACGCGAAAGCAUGGGGAGCGAACGGG